RNAcentral lists this small nucleolar RNA (84 nucleotides) under Fundulus heteroclitus (mummichog). Its description in RNAcentral is "Small nucleolar RNA SNORD111 (ENSFHEG00000020216.1)". Lineage: Eukaryota; Metazoa; Chordata; Actinopteri; Cyprinodontiformes; Fundulidae. The record is from RNAcentral.
AUGCUGUGGACGUGAUGAGCUCCUCAUGUCUCUUCUCCGAGUCAACAAAUGUGGGGAGAACUGUGAAGUUUCUGAUCGCAGCAU